AGAGUUUGAUCCUGGCUCAGGAUGAACGCUAGCGGCAGGCCUAACACAUGCAAGUCGAGGGGUAACAGAUAAUUAGCUUGCUAAUUAUGCUGACGACCGGCGCACGGGUGAGUAACGCGUAUGCAACCUACCUUUAACAGGGGAAUAGCCCGAGGAAACUCGGAUUAAUGCCCCAUAAUAUUUAGCUGUCACCUGGCAGUUAUCUUAAAGCUCCGGCGGUUAAAGAUGGGCAUGCGUGACAUUAGUUUGUUGGUGAGGUAACGGCUCACCAAGACAGCGAUGUCUAGGGGUUCUGAGAGGAUGAUCCCCCACACUGGUACUGAGACACGGACCAGACUCCUACGGGAGGCAGCAGUGAGGAAUAUUGGGCAAUGGACGCAAGUCUGACCCAGCCAUGCCGCGUGUAGGAAGAAUGUCCUAUGGAUUGUAAACUACUUUUAUGCAGGAAGAACUCUCUCGACGUGUCGAGAGCUGACGGUACUGCACGAAUAAGCACCGGCUAACUCCGUGCCAGCAGCCGCGGUAAUACGGAGGGUGCAAGCGUUAUCCGGAUUUAUUGGGUUUAAAGGGUGCGCAGGCGGCUUACUAAGUCAGUGGUGAAAUCUUGCGGCUCAACCGUAAAAUUGCCAUUGAUACUGGUAAGCUUGAAUUCAGUUGAGGUUGGCGGAAUGUGUAAUGUAACGGUGAAAUGCUUAGAUAUUACACAGAACACCGAUUGCGAAGGCAGCUAGCUAAACUGACAUUGACGCUGAGGCACGAAAGCGUGGGGAGCGAACAGGAUUAGAUACCCUGGUAGUCCACGCUGUAAACGAUGAUCACUCGUUGUGUGCGAUACACAGUACGCGACUGAGCGAAAGCAUUAAGUGAUCCACCUGGGGAGUACGUCGGCAACGAUGAAACUCAAAGGAAUUGACGGGGGCCCGCACAAGCGGAGGAACAUGUGGUUUAAUUCGAUGAUACGCGAGGAACCUUACCUGGGCUUAAAUGUAAGUUGCAUGAUCGGGAAACUGAUCUUUCCUUCGGGACUACUUACAAGGUGCUGCAUGGUUGUCGUCAGCUCGUGCCGUGAGGUGUCGGGUUAAGUCCCAUAACGAGCGCAACCCCUAUUGUUAGUUGCUAACAGGUUAAGCUGAGGACUCUAACGAGACUGCCGGUGUAAACCGAGAGGAAGGUGGGGAUGACGUCAAAUCAGCACGGCCCUUAUGUCCAGGGCUACACACGUGUUACAAUGGUCGGUACAAAGAGCAGCCACUUGGCGACAAGGCGCUAAUCUCGAAAACCGAUCCCAGUUCGGAUCGAAGUCUGCAACUCGACUUCGUGAAGGUGGAUUCGCUAGUAAUCGCGCAUCAGCCACGGCGCGGUGAAUACGUUCCCGGGCCUUGUACACACCGCCCGUCAAGCCAUGGAAGCCGGGGGUACCUGAAGUCUGUAACCGCAAGGAGCGGCCUAAGGUAAAACUGGUGACUGGGGCUAAGUCGGAACAAGGUA
RNAcentral lists this ribosomal RNA (1488 nucleotides) under metagenome. Its description in RNAcentral is "bacterial SSU rRNA". It matches the Rfam family "Bacterial small subunit ribosomal RNA". The record is from RNAcentral.